UACGUAGGGUGCGAGCGUUAAUCGGAAUUACUGGGCGUAAAGGGUGCGCAGGCGGUUUUGUAAGCCAGAUGUGAGAGCCCCGGGCUUAACCUGGGAAUGGCAUUUGGGACUGCAAGGCUAGAGUGUGGCAGAGGAGACUGGAAUUCCUGGUGUAGCAGUGAAAUGCGUAGAUAUCAGGAGGAAUACCGAUGGCGAAGGCAGGUCUCUGGGCUGACACUGACGCUCAUGCACGAAAGCGUGGGGAGCAAACAGG
This 253-nucleotide ribosomal RNA is filed under the name uncultured bacterium. RNAcentral describes it as "partial 16S ribosomal RNA". It matches the Rfam family "Bacterial small subunit ribosomal RNA", at positions 524 to 776 of the family's 1533-position model. The record is from RNAcentral.